AGGCUCGUCGUUCAAUGGAUAGGAUUUUUGGUUUCGGCCCAAAGGAUGGGGGUUCGAAUCCCCCCGAGCCUA
RNAcentral lists this transfer RNA (72 nucleotides) under Nanobdellota archaeon. RNAcentral describes it as "tRNA-Arg". It matches the Rfam family "tRNA". From Rfam's summary of the family: Transfer RNA (tRNA) molecules are approximately 80 nucleotides in length. Their secondary structure includes four short double-helical elements and three loops (D, anti-codon, and T loops). The record is from RNAcentral. Lineage: Archaea; Nanobdellati; Nanobdellota.